CGGAGUCGUCCAGUAUUCUUGAGUUCAAAAGAUUUGAGAGCUGAGAGGUGACCACGACUUCGACAAAUCUACAGGCACUAAAUUUCUAACUUUAAAAAGAAGAAAUCGAAAGUGUCACCUAGUUACUGACGAAAGGUGUCUACAUAGUUAUGGGUCGUCCAUAGCCACUGAAGCUCGAAAGGCCGAUGUGAUUUCACCUAAAAGCUUAUAGAGGGUCGAACCUCGAAUCAGUCCGGCAGGGUUGAAUAAGCGGAUUAAGUGGAGAGUAGUUAGUAACUCAAGUAGUGAUUGGUCUAACCAAUUGACACUGACAGAAUACUUCUCAAAAGGAAGUGGAUAAGAAGGGAAACCAUAAUCUAACAAAAGUUCUGUCUUUAUAAGGUGUAAUCUCAGCCU
Molecule: non-coding RNA, 396 nt
Filed under: unclassified sequences
Description: Giant, ornate, lake- and Lactobacillales-derived (GOLLD) RNA
Rfam family: Giant, ornate, lake- and Lactobacillales-derived (GOLLD) RNA
Source: Rfam by way of RNAcentral